This 2233-nucleotide ribosomal RNA is filed under the name Salmonella enterica subsp. enterica serovar Montevideo. RNAcentral describes it as "bacterial LSU rRNA". It matches the Rfam family "Bacterial large subunit ribosomal RNA", at positions 594 to 2812 of the family's 2925-position model. Lineage: Bacteria; Pseudomonadati; Pseudomonadota; Gammaproteobacteria; Enterobacterales; Enterobacteriaceae. The record is from RNAcentral.
UGACUGCGUACCUUUUGUAUAAUGGGUCAGCGACUUAUAUUCUGUAGCAAGGUUAACCGAAUAGGGGAGCCGGAGGGAAACCGAGUCUUAAUUGGGCGUUAAGUUGCAGGGUAUAGACCCGAAACCCGGUGAUCUAGCCAUGGGCAGGUUGAAGGUUGGGUAACACUAACUGGAGGACCGAACCGACUAAUGUUGAAAAAUUAGCGGAUGACCUGUGGCUGGGGGUGAAAGGCCAAUCAAACCGGGAGAUAGCUGGUUCUCCCCGAAAGCUAUUUAGGUAGCGCCUCGUGAAUUCAUCUCCGGGGGUAGAGCACUGUUUCGGCUAGGGGGCCAUCCCGGCUUACCAACCCGAUGCAAACUGCGAAUACCGGAGAAUGUUAUCACGGGAGACACACGGCGGGUGCUAACGUCCGUCGUGAAGAGGGAAACAACCCAGACCGCCAGCUAAGGUCCCAAAGUCAUGGUUAAGUGGGAAACGAUGUGGGAAGGCCCAGACAGCCAGGAUGUUGGCUUAGAAGCAGCCAUCAUUUAAAGAAAGCGUAAUAGCUCACUGGUCGAGUCGGCCUGCGCGGAAGAUGUAACGGGGCUAAACCAUGCACCGAAGCUGCGGCAGCGACACUCAGGUGUUGUUGGGUAGGGGAGCGUUCUGUAAGCCUGUGAAGGUGGCCUGUGAGGGUUGCUGGAGGUAUCAGAAGUGCGAAUGCUGACAUAAGUAACGAUAAAGCGGGUGAAAAGCCCGCUCGCCGGAAGACCAAGGGUUCCUGUCCAACGUUAAUCGGGGCAGGGUGAGUCGACCCCUAAGGCGAGGCCGAAAGGCGUAGUCGAUGGGAAACGGGUUAAUAUUCCCGUACUUGGUGUUACUGCGAAGGGGGGACGGAGAAGGCUAUGUUGGCCGGGCGACGGUUGUCCCGGUUUAAGCGUGUAGGCUGGUUUUCCAGGCAAAUCCGGAAAAUCAAGGCUGAGGCGUGACGACGAGGCACUACGGUGCUGAAGCAACAAAUGCCCUGCUUCCAGGAAAAGCCUCUAAGCAUCAGGUAACACGAAAUCGUACCCCAAACCGACACAGGUGGUCAGGUAGAGAAUACCAAGGCGCUUGAGAGAACUCGGGUGAAGGAACUAGGCAAAAUGGUGCCGUAACUUCGGGAGAAGGCACGCUGACAUGUAGGUGAAGUGAUUUACUCAUGGAGCUGAAGUCAGUCGAAGAUACCAGCUGGCUGCAACUGUUUAUUAAAAACACAGCACUGUGCAAACACGAAAGUGGACGUAUACGGUGUGACGCCUGCCCGGUGCCGGAAGGUUAAUUGAUGGGGUCAGCGCAAGCGAAGCUCCUGAUCGAAGCCCCGGUAAACGGCGGCCGUAACUAUAACGGUCCUAAGGUAGCGAAAUUCCUUGUCGGGUAAGUUCCGACCUGCACGAAUGGCGUAAUGAUGGCCAGGCUGUCUCCACCCGAGACUCAGUGAAAUUGAACUCGCUGUGAAGAUGCAGUGUACCCGCGGCAAGACGGAAAGACCCCGUGAACCUUUACUAUAGCUUGACACUGAACAUUGAGCCUUGAUGUGUAGGAUAGGUGGGAGGCUUUGAAGUGUGGACGCCAGUCUGCAUGGAGCCGACCUUGAAAUACCACCCUUUAAUGUUUGAUGUUCUAACGUGGACCCGUGAUCCGGGUUGCGGACAGUGUCUGGUGGGUAGUUUGACUGGGGCGGUCUCCUCCUAAAGAGUAACGGAGGAGCACGAAGGUUGGCUAAUCCUGGUCGGACAUCAGGAGGUUAGUGCAAUGGCAUAAGCCAGCUUGACUGCGAGCGUGACGGCGCGAGCAGGUGCGAAAGCAGGUCAUAGUGAUCCGGUGGUUCUGAAUGGAAGGGCCAUCGCUCAACGGAUAAAAGGUACUCCGGGGAUAACAGGCUGAUACCGCCCAAGAGUUCAUAUCGACGGCGGUGUUUGGCACCUCGAUGUCGGCUCAUCACAUCCUGGGGCUGAAGUAGGUCCCAAGGGUAUGGCUGUUCGCCAUUUAAAGUGGUACGCGAGCUGGGUUUAGAACGUCGUGAGACAGUUCGGUCCCUAUCUGCCGUGGGCGCUGGAGAACUGAGGGGGGCUGCUCCUAGUACGAGAGGACCGGAGUGGACGCAUCACUGGUGUUCGGGUUGUCAUGCCAAUGGCACUGCCCGGUAGCUAAAUGCGGAAGAGAUAAGUGCUGAAAGCAUCUAAGCACGAAACUUGCCCCGAGAUGAGUUCU